RNA transcript from Ailuropoda melanoleuca (giant panda), 1843 nucleotides. It is a transcript of the gene named OCIA domain containing 1, with no coding region annotated. The record is from RefSeq and is a predicted model, not a curated record. The transcript has 8 exons. NCBI's taxonomy places the organism in Eukaryota, Metazoa, Chordata, Mammalia, Carnivora, Ursidae.
CGUAGGUCGCCAGUGCUUCCGGGUUGCGGUCAUUUUGAGCCCGUAUUUGGGUGACUUCUUGGAGGCCGAGUGGCUGUUUGCUCCCCACCCCCAACGCCGCCGUGGUGUUGCGUACCUGACUGCUUCCGCACGGUUUUCUUCCUCUUUGACCCCUCUCGGGUCCCCUCCAGACCUUCUAUCCUCGAUCGCCCCUGCUCGCCGCGCCGUCGCUCGCCGCUAUUGUCCGGAGGAAAAAUGAAUGGGAGGGCUGAUUUUCGGGAGCCGAAUGCAGAAGUUCCAAGACCAAUUCCCCACAUAGGGGCUGAUUACAUUCCAACAGAGGAAGAAAGAAGAGUCUUCGCAGAGUGCAAUGAUGAAAGCUUCUGGUUCAGAUCUGUGCCCUUGGCUGCAACAAGUAUGUUGAUUACUCAAGGAUUAAUUAGUAAAGGAAUCCUUUCAAGUCAUCCCAAAUAUGGUUCCAUCCCUAAACUUAUAUUUGCUUGUAUCAUGGGAUACUUUGCUGGAAAACUUUCUUAUGUGAAAACUUGCCAAGAGAAGUUCAAAAAUCUUGAGAAUUCCCCUCUUGGAGAAGCUUUACGCUCAGGACAGGCACGGCGAUCUUCACCAUCUGGGCACUAUUCUCAGAAGUCAAAAUACGACUCAGAUUUGAGUGGUCAUUCAUCUUUUGUGACGUCUCCAGCAGCAGACAACAUAGAAAAAGAGAUGCUUCCUCAUUAUGAGCCAAUUCCAUUCAGUGCUUCUAUGAAUGAAUCUACUCCCACUGGUAUUACUGAUCAUAUUGCCCAAGGUAGAAACUUCUCUUGAAAUGAGUUUCAGCAUUAUAUGGUCCAACGUAUGUAUAAACUUUAUUUGAUGACCUUUUCUGCUGGAUAUCACCUGUAUGUUCCACCAUCAGCCUAAACUCAGCAUGUUUGUUCAUCUGGUUCUUCAUUCAUUCAACAUUUUUUGACUUCCAGUAGGUGUCAGGCACUCAGCUAGGUAUGAAAGAGGUAUAGAUGAAUAAGACCUGAUUCUUGUCCUUGAGAAACUCUCUUAGACUGUUAGAAGAUACAGAGAUAUAAGGAAAAAUUACUAAUAUGUCCCAUUAAUCAAAAAUACUAACAAAGUUUAAUGAUUAUUGCAAAGAAGUGGUAAAUUGGGCCAUGGGGAGGCUUCAGAGAGGUUACACUUGUUAGGCUGGUCUUAAAGGCUUUCAGCUUUUUUGUAAUGUGAGAAAAAUAAUAAUUACCUGCCUUACAGAACUCUUGUCAAGUGAGAAAAUCCAUGUGAAAAUGCUUUGUGAAGUUUGUGUAAAUACUAGCUUUGAAGAUCGCAGAAUUCAAAGUAAACAAAUAUGGAGAUACUUGGGAUGAGUGAAAAAUUGCAUCAUUGGACCUACUGCAGGCGUUCAGUCUCCAGCUUCAUCUGGGUGGUCACGAAUAUCUGCAUGCUUUGAGCUCAGCAGCAGUCUUCAUAAACAUUUAAAACCAGAACCUGGGUUCUUGUGGUUUGGCUUAUUAAAAUGAUGUUUAAAAACACAGAUUUUAAUGUGAAUGUUGUGUGAAUAUAUUCACCUUGAGGAGCUAUACAAAUGAUGGUAUUAUACCAUGAUCACAGUUUGUGAAAUCGUUUUAAGUUACAGGGUAAGGAUACUCUCUUAUGAAACUAUAAAGAGAUUGUAUAUUCUAGGAUCAGCAUAUAUGAAAAUAAAUACCUGCAUGUUGAAUUGGGGUGGGUGGGGGGAGCAAGCAUAAUUUUAAGUGUUAAGCUUUACAUCCAAAAAUUAUUAAAAAAGCCUUUCUCCGGUGUUUGUUGUAUUCACUUAUUAACGUUUAUGGUAAAUAAAACAUGACGGAACAUGCAA